Molecule: ribosomal RNA, 465 nt
Filed under: uncultured bacterium
Lineage: Bacteria
Description: bacterial SSU rRNA
Rfam family: Bacterial small subunit ribosomal RNA
Source: RNAcentral
CCAGACUCCUACGGGAGGCAGCAGUGAGGAAUAUUGGUCAAUGGCCGUAAGGCUGAACCAGCCAAGUAGCGUGAGGGAAGACUGCCCUAUGGGUUGUAAACCUCUUUUAUGCGGGGAUAAAGGUGUCCACGUGUGGAUGUUUGCAGGUACCGCAUGAAUAAGGACCGGCUAAUUCCGUGCCAGCAGCCGCGGUAAUACGGAAGGUCCGGGCGUUAUCCGGAUUUAUUGGGUUUAAAGGGAGCGUAGGCCGGCUUUUAAGUCAGCUGUGAAAGUCCGCGGCUCAACCGUGGAAUUGCAGUUGAAACUGGAGGCCUUGAGUGCACACAGGGAUGCCGGAAUUCAUGGUGUAGCGGUGAAAUGCGUAGAUAUUAGGAGGAACACCAGUGGCGAAGGCGGCUUACUGGACUGUAACUGACGUUGAGGCUCGAAGGCGUGGGGAGCAAACAGGAUUAGAUACCCGAGUAC